UAUCGGUGGAUCACUCGGCUCGUAGGUCGAUG
RNAcentral lists this ribosomal RNA (32 nucleotides) under Rotylenchus buxophilus. Its description in RNAcentral is "partial 5.8S ribosomal RNA". The record is from RNAcentral. Lineage: Eukaryota; Metazoa; Nematoda; Chromadorea; Rhabditida; Hoplolaimidae.